GGGGAUUUAGCUCAGUGGUAGAGCGCUUGCCUAGAAAGCAUAAGGCCCUGGGUUCAGUCCCCAGCUCCG
Non-coding RNA from Rattus norvegicus (Norway rat), 69 nucleotides. Lineage: Eukaryota; Metazoa; Chordata; Mammalia; Rodentia; Muridae. The record is from Rfam.